GACGAACGCUGGCGGCGUGCUUAACACAUGCAAGUCGAACGGGAAGGCCCUGCUUUUGUGGGGUGCUCGAGUGGCGAACGGGUGAGUAACACGUGAGUAACCUGCCCUUGACUUUGGGAUAACUUCAGGAAACUGGGGCUAAUACCGGAUAGGAGCUCCUGCUGCAUGGUGGGGGUUGAAAAGUUUCGGCGGUUGGGGAUGGACUCGCGGCUUAUCAGCUUGUUGGUGGGGUAGUGGCUUACCAAGGCUUUGACGGGUAGCCGGCCUGAGAGGGUGACCGGCCACAUUGGGACUGAGAUACGGCCCAGACUCCUACGGGAGGCAGCAGUGGGGAAUAUUGCACAAUGGGCGGAAGCCUGAUGCAGCAACGCCGCGUGCGGGAUGACGGCCUUCGGGUUGUAAACCGCUUUCGCCUGUGACGAAGCGUGAGUGACGGUAAUGGGUAAGAAGCACCGGCUAACUACGUGCCAGCAGCCGCGGUGAUACGUAGGGUGCGAGCGUUGUCCGGAUUUAUUGGGCGUAAAGGGCUCGUAGGUGGUUGAUCGCGUCGGAAGUGUAAUCUUGGGGCUUAACCCUGAGCGUGCUUUCGAUACGGGUUGACUUGAGGAAGGUAGGGGAGAAUGGAAUUCCUGGUGGAGCGGUGGAAUGCGCAGAUAUCAGGAGGAACACCAGUGGCGAAGGCGGUUCUCUGGGCCUUUCCUGACGCUGAGGAGCGAAAGCGUGGGGAGCGAACAGGCUUAGAUACCCUGGUAGUCCACGCUGUAAACGGUGGGUACUAGGUGUGGGGUCCAUUCCACGGGUUCCGUGCCGUAGCUAACGCUUUAAGUACCCCGCCUGGGGAGUACGGCCGCAAGGCUAAAACUCAAAGGAAUUGACGGGGCCCCGCACAAGCGGCGGAGCAUGCGGAUUAAUUCGAUGCAACGCGUAGAACCUUACCUGGGUUUGACAUGGAUCGGGAGUGCUCAGAGAUGGGUGUGCCUCUUUUGGGGUCGGUUCACAGGUGGUGCAUGGCUGUCGUCAGCUCGUGUCGUGAGAUGUUGGGUUAAGUCCCGCAACGAGCGCAACCCUUGUUCACUGUUGCCAGCACGUUAUGGUGGGGACUCAGUGGAGACCGCCGGGGUCAACUCGGAGGAAGGUGGGGAUGACGUCAAGUCAUCAUGCCCCUUAUGUCCAGGGCUUCACGCAUGCUACAAUGGCUGGUACAGAGAGUGGCGAGCCUGUGAGGGUGAGCGAAUCUCGGAAAGCCGGUCUCAGUUCGGAUUGGGGUCUGCAACUCGACCUCAUGAAGUCGGAGUCGCUAGUAAUCGCAGAUCAGCAACGCUGCGGUGAAUACGUUCCCGGGGCU
This 1345-nucleotide ribosomal RNA is filed under the name uncultured bacterium. RNAcentral's name for it is "partial 16S ribosomal RNA". It matches the Rfam family "Bacterial small subunit ribosomal RNA", at positions 28 to 1381 of the family's 1533-position model. The record is from RNAcentral.